RNAcentral lists this non-coding RNA (27 nucleotides) under Mus musculus (house mouse). Lineage: Eukaryota; Metazoa; Chordata; Mammalia; Rodentia; Muridae. The record is from RNAcentral.
UACAGCUAGAGAUGAAAUGCAAACCAA